Molecule: ribosomal RNA, 253 nt
Filed under: uncultured bacterium
Lineage: Bacteria
Description: partial 16S ribosomal RNA
Rfam family: Bacterial small subunit ribosomal RNA
Source: RNAcentral
UACGUAGGGUGCGAGCGUUGUCCGGAAUUACUGGGCGUAAAGAGUUCGUAGGCGGUUUGUCGCGUCGUUCGUGAAAACUUGGGGCUUAACUCCAAGCGUGCGGGCGAUACGGGCAGACUUGAGUACUACAGGGGAGACUGGAAUUCCUGGUGUAGCGGUGAAAUGCGCAGAUAUCAGGAGGAACACCGAUGGCGAAGGCAGGUCUCUGGGCAUUAACUGACGCUGAGGAGCGAAAGCAUGGGGAGCGAACAGG